Neocloeon triangulifer is the source of this 5429-nucleotide long non-coding RNA. RefSeq lists it as uncharacterized. NCBI's taxonomy places the organism in Eukaryota, Metazoa, Arthropoda, Insecta, Ephemeroptera, Baetidae. The record is from RefSeq and is a predicted model, not a curated record. The transcript is spliced from 3 exons.
AUAAAUGAUCUUGUGAUACACAGGUCAAGGCUAACAAAUUGCACCAUCAAUACAGCAGUUUAAUGUGUAUACUCUUGCCCUGCGGUGUGGUAAAUAAUUAUUUCUCUGCCUAAACAGUAAUAACCAUACAGUGGCUCUAAAAAAGAGAAACUAGAAUCGACUUGUAAGCACUUCUCGAAAAAAGUUCAGGAGAAACUUUUGAUUUUUAAAAUGGUCAAUCUGGAGACAGCAGUGUGAGAAGGCGCUGGUUGCCCUCAAACAAUUGACUCAGCUCCUCGUGAAGUCCCCUGGGUGCCUCGACUUCCAAACCGUUUUCUCUGCACGCAGCAAGUAGAAUCCAAGCCUGGGCUGGAAGACCUUUCGAUACCAAAAGUUCUGCACAUUGUGCGAAUCGACCCAGCGAGAUGAGAACAAGUGCAGCUUGCAUCUGUCAAAAAAUUCAAAUAAACAAAAUCAAAUCAAAUUUAUGAGAAUUACCCUGUUCCCGUUGGCAGCAAGAUGCUCAGCCCAUUUCUUCAGCACCUCGGCCAUUUCUCCCUGAGGUAAGACUGAUUUUGCUAGCCAGGCUGCACGCUCCCAUAAAGAGUAUGAAGUGAGAUACCGGCAAGCAUCUAACCCCUUUCCAAUCAAGCACAAAAGUUGGACGCCUUCAUAAAUAAUUAAUAGUUUCUCCAAAAUUAAUGAAUAGUAUUAAAUUUACCUUCCCCUAUAUUUCCAUUUGCUAUCAAGUUUGUGGCAACAAGUUUGAUAGUGCUUUGGGCAGCACCAGUAGACUGAAUGGUUGAAACCAAGCAAGCUCUGAAAUCAAAAUUUCAAUUACUGAGGAGACAAAUUGUACUAAUUGUACUUUAUGGCAUCAGUGUAGUAGGCAGGAUUCUCAAGCUCCGUCUCCAAAAGAAGCUGCACCGCUCUGUCAGUCUGUCCAAGCAGGAUGAGACGUUCGAUCACCUUUUUCGAGUGUUCGUAGUCUCCGCGCUUCGACUCGUGAAUUGAUGCUCUCUCAAGUUGCAGUUUCUGAGAAAUUACACUUUUAGACUGGAAGUAUUAUUUCAACGAAUACAAAACAUACCUGGAAGGAAUAAUUAUCGCAGAUAAGAUCAUAGCAAGUGUCUAACGGUUCUAGAUCUGGGUUUGCAUUGGUUCUGUUUGUGUCCAAGGUGGAGCCAGGCGAAUCUAUGCUCGGACUCCUCUCAAUAAUUCCCUAGGAUAUUAAUUUGUGGAAAUGUCAAGAGAAAAAUUGUAAAAAUAUUUAUUAUACAGUGCGCUUGUAAGUUUUGAUGUAGUAAUCAGCCACGGUCCACAAAUCGACUUCCUCCGUGGAACCAAAGUACUUGGCAGCUGCCAGAGCUCGUUGGCAAUAAGAUUUCUGCCUGAAACUGUCCAUUUCAGACUCGGAAAGCUGAGUUAGUUGGUCUUUCAGGCCUAAAAAUGUAGGAAAAAAUUUACAACUUUUAAAAUUUUUGAUUUGGAAAGUACUUCCAGUCUGGAUGUACACAACUUUAAUUGUUAAUCCGCACUGUGUUUCAAACUUUUCAAAAAUUUUGCCUUCAAAUUUUUAACAUUAAUUUCUUUGAAUUAAAUUUUAAAUUGAAAAGUUGCUCACCUUGAGCCUCUAGGUCUGUUAGCCCUCGGAGGUUGUCCAAUUGAUCAAUCGUGCAGAGCCCAGUAGCAAGUGAGGUUCUUAGACUAAGAAGUGCAUGAGGUGUAAGAAGACUAGGACAAUAAAUGGAGUCUGUAAGAAAGUUAUAUUAGAAAAUUAAUCAUUUUUUAAAUUUUCAAAAUAACCUUGGAAUGAAUAUUCCGACAUUGGGGAGCUGCAGUGGGUCAAAGUUAUGUCCAUCACUCGGAGACACCCAUCCUGGGUUGCCAGGACAGGCUUGUCUGAAGCAGCCCAAUCAAUAUCCAUCACCUUGACAAUAUCACGAGGACUCUUCAACUGAGCUAUUCUCUCGUAAUGCGCCUAAAAUCAGACCGUUAUUUUUUAUUGAUUCAUUGUAAAAAAUAUGCACCUUUUUAAGGUCUAUUAUGUCAACGCCAUCAUUGUAGAGUAACAGUAGCCUGAGAUUUCCCUUGCCUGGAGCAAACCGCAUCUUUUUUACCCACCCUCUUGAAGUGUGCACGUUUCGUGACGAGCGAGCCUUCAAAUCCCAAAUAUUCAGCAACCCGUCAGAGUCUCCUUGGACUAUAAGGUCAUUUUUGAAGGCAAUACAGGUGACACCGCUAACUCCAGUCUAAAAUUUGUUGCAAAACAAAAUGUUAUUCAAGUUUGGUUAUGCAUGAGCUACGUUUGUACCUCAGGAGGAAUUUUGAUGCCAUCUUUCAUCACAUUUCCAUCGACAGAAAAGUGAAACAACUGACUGUCGGUGUCUGUAAAUACAAAAUGCUCCCUGGCUAUGAGACUUUUUUCAGCAGAAGAUUCACCAAUUCUUGCUAGAAUUAUAUAUUCUUGAAUUUUUUCACAAAUAAUUAUUAAAAUCAAGUUUUUACUUUGUUCUGCGGCAGUAGGUGACAACACUUGGAUGUCUUCCUGUUCUUUCUCUUCUUGGUGGGCCAUUUUCCGUCUUAAUGCUUUUAAAUUGUGAAUUGGUGACCAUUCCUAAAUCAUGUUUGAAAUACAUUUGUUGAAAAUAACAAAAUGUUCAUACCAACGCCGUCACAAGGGGGAACUUCUUAGGCAUGGUUCUCAAAAUGCACAUAUUUCGCAAAUCCCACAACUCGAAUGUGCUAAAUUUAAGUGACAGCACAAAAUAUUGCCUGAUUUCAAAGUAAAAAAUUUUUAACAUUAUCCGAUUCCAAAAGAAUAUAAGACUCACUUCAAAGGUGAAACUUUCAGAGUGUCGAUUGGAGGUUCGUCAACAACAUCUGUGCGAAUCGAAGUGCAACCUCCAGUUGCAACAUCCGUCAGCAACAACUCAUUUCGCACCAUUCCAGAUGAACCUGGGGUUGUAAAUGCAAAGCUCAGGAAACUCUUCAGGCCAGUCCACUCAAUUCCCCUAAUCAAAUAUAAUCGUAACUAAACAUUUUUCAAAUAGUGCAUCAUUUUUUUGCUUACCUAACAGGAUAGGAGUGGAUGACUAGUUCCUUUUCGAGAAUUCCUGUUGCCAUGUUGUAAAUUUGCACACAACCCGAUUCAGUUCCACCAGCCAUGAUUGGCUCGUACUCUUGCCAAUUCCUUGUGGUCAGGGGUGGACACAUUCUGAUGGCCUGAAGUGAUCCACUGAUGCUGUGCAACAAACCCGUAAUUUGAAGUUUCAGAUUUCCCUCAGCGCUGAUUUCUCUUGGCUGCAAUGAUUUGUAAAAGUUACAUAAAAUUUUAGUUUUCACAAAAAAAAUUACUCACAGAAUACAAUGGUUCGACCAGAUUUGAAAGGUAGUUAGCAGUGUCCAUUUGUAUCGGAGUGUACCCAAGAUCCAGAAAAAUUAUCUUCCCAUUUGUCAAAAUCAAAGCUGGACAACAAAUUUUAGGGAAAACAAGAUUUUCAUUUACCAAAUACAUACCAGCUCUGCACUCUGAAUGGGGAUCGAUGGCCAUUCCAAGCACUUUUGAAGACUUGGUCAGUCGGACAGCCUCGCUGUGACAUCUUUGGUCAUAAGCCAUUUCGGGUUCAUUUUGCAUUUGGAAGCCUUCUGAAAUUUUGUUUGAUUUUUUUAUUUAAAUUUAAGUAACAAAAGAUAUUUCAGGGUGAAAACUACCUUGACUAAGGGCUGACAUGUCAAGUGAAAGCCUUGAAGCUGACAGAUUGCGCUUCCUCAGUUUGACUCCGAUGCUCCCAGACUCAUGCAGACAAUACAUAACAUCCCUCUGCCUACAUGACACAACCUGAAAUUGAAAAUAUUUCAAUUCGUACUCAUAGAAAUAGAAAAUUAACCUCCUGUAUCAUUGAAAUAAAAUGGCAAAAUCAGCAAACCUGCAUGAAUGGCGCUGCUGUCCUCUCCAAAGGGAUGACGCAGAUGGUCUGAUUGAUGUGCAGAUCCAGAAUGAGCAGUUCUUUGGAGAAGAGCAGCAGCAGGUGGUGGCGAAGUGAACGGUGAUAGCACAACUGCAAACAAUCGCUGUUGCCACCACUUGGCACCUCUUCAGACCUAAAUUUUGAGCAAUUUUUAAAACUCAAAUCCACUGUUUUCAGUUUUGUGCAAAAGCUUACUUUGGUUUGACCUCUCCUAUGACAAGAUCCUUGACCAUUUUUCGGAGGCCUUCGCCUCCCAACUUCUUCUCGUUGCUGUUGUGGCUUCCACUGGCGUGGUUCCCCAUUCCUUGGCUGAUAUAAAAUCUACGACCGUUGCUUGACGGCACUUUGGACACCGAGAAAUCAUCCACAAACAAAAUGCAAUCUUGACAUAAAACUGAAAAAAAAGUGUGAGUUAGGGUCAAAGCUGAAGGACAACAGAUUUUCCGUGUAGGUUUUCUUCCACAAUUUGGUCUUGGUCGCCGUGUCCCAGACGACCAAUGAAUAAGCACAUCACCUUAAAAUUGCACUUAAUAAAAUGCAAAUACCUAAUAUGGCCUUGGAACCAUCCUGGAGAACGCCAGCGGCCUUUCCCUGCUGGACGUCCCAAAUAACGAUGUGUCCCUGCAGGUCAGCAGAGACCAAAAACAAACCAGCGGUUUUUCCCUGGAUUGAGCCAGGCUCCCAACAGAUCUAAAAAAAUCAAAGUUAUAUUAUGUAACAACAACAAAACUGAUAAAUCUAAAUUCAUGUAAAAAAAAUCCACCUUUUGCACAGGGUGCUUGUGUUUUUCGAGAGUCUGGACGGUCUGAAUGUUCCUGGUGUCCAACACUACCACGGAGCAGUUGGAGCCGUACGCAAGCAGCCCCUGAGAGCCCCACUCGAGGGCGCCGAUGUUGCCCAUGCUGGCGGCGCCGACCAGGGUGCGGGCCGACACCCUGGGAAUGUUGAAUGAGGGUCCUCCUUUGGCCUGCUCGUACGACUCGACCGAGCCCUGCCGCUCCAGGUGUCCGUCCUCGGCGCUCUCGCCCAUCGCUCUGGCCGCGCUGCUCUCAGGUGUUCUCGGACACGCUCAGCGCCGGACAGCAGCACAGGACAUCUACUUAGGGUCUCGUGUGUGUCCGAUAUCACCUUGCCAGUCGGGACAGUCUUUUCAUUUUUGUUUACCAACUCAGCCUUCCUUAUUUUUUGGCCUGCACCUGCCUUGGCGCCGAAAGAGACAUCUGGCGGAGGAAAGAGUGAACUAAUUCUUGCUCUGACAAGAAGUCUUCUUGCUCUGCGUCUAUAAUAUUGGAUCAGAUCAAAACUAUAUAGCCACGUGCUCGCGUGCUUCUGUACGUGUCAAAUAAUAUUACAAGAUUGAAACUUGGAAAGUCCUUGUUAUGAACAAGAACUUUACUAUUUACUUGAGCUAAAUUAAACUCAUCAGUAAAGAUAAUGAUAAAAUUAUAUUUAUAUUGAUUAUUUUCGAUUAUUUUUACA